This 253-nucleotide ribosomal RNA is filed under the name uncultured bacterium. RNAcentral describes it as "partial 16S ribosomal RNA". It matches the Rfam family "Bacterial small subunit ribosomal RNA", at positions 524 to 776 of the family's 1533-position model. The record is from RNAcentral.
UACAGAGGUCUCGAGCGUUGUUCGGAUUCAUUGGGCGUAAAGGGCGCGUAGGCGGCGGGGUAAGUCUGGUGGGAAAUCUCGGAGCUCAACUCCGAAAUUGCACUGGAUACUGCUCUGCUAGAGGGCUGGAGAGGAGAUCGGAAUUCACGGUGUAGCAGUGAAAUGCGUAGAUAUCGUGAGGAAGACCAGUGGCGAAGGCGGAUCUCUGGACAGCUCCUGACGCUGAGGCGCGAAGGCUAGGGGAGCAAACGGG